This 462-nucleotide ribosomal RNA is filed under the name uncultured bacterium. RNAcentral's name for it is "bacterial SSU rRNA". It matches the Rfam family "Bacterial small subunit ribosomal RNA", at positions 29 to 507 of the family's 1533-position model. The record is from RNAcentral.
AUUGAACGCUGGCGGAAUGCUUUACACAUGCAAGUCGAACGGCAGCACGGGGCAACCUGGUGGCGAGUGGCGAACGGGUGAGUAAUACAUCGGAACGUGCCCAGUCGUGGGGGAUAACGUAGCGAAAGUUACGCUAAUACCGCAUACGAUCUAUGGAUGAAAGCGGGGGAUCGCAAGACCUCGCGCGAUUGGAGCGGCCGAUGUCAGAUUAGGUAGUUGGUGGGGUAAAGGCCUACCAAGCCGACGAUCUGUAGCUGGUCUGAGAGGACGACCAGCCACACUGGGACUGAGACACGGCCCAGACUCCUACGGGAGGCAGCAGUGGGGAAUAUUGCACAAUGGGCGAAAGCCUGAUGCAGCGACGCCGCGUGAGGGAUGACGGCCUUCGGGUUGUAAACCUCUUUCAGCAGGGAAGAAGCGAAAGUGACGGUACCUGCAGAAGAAGCACCGGCUAACUACGUG